GACGAACGCUGGCGGCGUGCUUAACACAUGCAAGUCGAACGGAAAGGCCCUGCUUUUGUGGGGUGCUCGAGUGGCGAACGGGUGAGUAACACGUGAGUAACCUGCCCUUGACUUUGGGAUAACUUCAGGAAACUGGGGCUAAUACCGGAUAGGAGCUCCUGCUGCAUGGUGGGGGUUGGAAAGUUUCGGCGGUUGGGGAUGGACUCGCGGCUUAUCAGCUUGUUGGUGGGGUAGUGGCUUACCAAGGCUUUGACGGGUAGCCGGCCUGAGAGGGUGACCGGCCACAUUGGGACUGAGAUACGGCCCAGACUCCUAGUGGAGGCAGCGGUGGGGAAUAUUGCACAAUGGGCGGAAGCCUGAUGCAGCAACGCCGCGUGCGGGAUGACGGCCUUCGGGUUGUAAACCGCUUUCGCCUGUGACGAAGCGUGAGUGACGGUAAUGGGUAAAGAAGCACCGGCUAACUACGUG
Molecule: ribosomal RNA, 468 nt
Filed under: uncultured bacterium
Lineage: Bacteria
Description: partial 16S ribosomal RNA
Rfam family: Bacterial small subunit ribosomal RNA
Source: RNAcentral